RNAcentral lists this ribosomal RNA (465 nucleotides) under uncultured Streptococcus sp. RNAcentral's name for it is "bacterial SSU rRNA". It matches the Rfam family "Bacterial small subunit ribosomal RNA", at positions 338 to 795 of the family's 1533-position model. The record is from RNAcentral. Lineage: Bacteria; Bacillati; Bacillota; Bacilli; Lactobacillales; Streptococcaceae.
CCUACGGGAGGCAGCAGUAGGGAAUCUUCGGCAAUGGGGGCAACCCUGACCGAGCAACGCCGCGUGAGUGAAGAAGGUUUUCGGAUCGUAAAGCUCUGUUGUAAGAGAAGAACGAGUGUGAGAGUGGAAAGUUCACACUGUGACGGUAACUUACCAGAAAGGGACGGCUAACUACGUGCCAGCAGCCGCGGUAAUACGUAGGUCCCGAGCGUUAUCCGGAUUUAUUGGGCGUAAAGCGAGCGCAGGCGGUUAGAUAAGUCUGAAGUUAAAGGCUGUGGCUUAACCAUAGUACGCUUUGGAAACUGUUUAACUUGAGUGCAGAAGGGGAGAGUGGAAUUCCAUGUGUAGCGGUGAAAUGCGUAGAUAGAUGGAGGAACACCGGUGGCGAAAGCGGCUCUCUGGUCUGUAACUGACGCUGAGGCUCGAAAGCGUGGGGAGCAAACAGGAUUAGAUACCCUGGUAGUC